GCUCAGAUUGAACGCUGGCGGCAGGCCUAACACAUGCAAGUCGAGCGGUAGCACAGAGAGCUUGCUCUCGGGUGACGAGCGGCGGACGGGUGAGUAAUGUCUGGGAAACUGCCUGAUGGAGGGGGAUAACUACUGGAAACGGUAGCUAAUACCGCAUAAUGUCGCAAGACCAAAGUGGGGGACCUUUGGGCCUCAUGCCAUCAGAUGUGCCCAGAUGGGAUUAGCUAGUAGGUGGGGUAACGGCUCACCUAGGCGACGAUCCCUAGCUGGUCUGAGAGGAUGACCAGCCACACUGGAACUGAGACACGGUCCAGACUCCUACGGGAGGCAGCAGUGGGGAAUAUUGCACAAUGGGCGCAAGCCUGAUGCAGCCAUGCCGCGUGUGUGAAGAAGGCCUUCGGGUUGUAAAGCACUUUCAGCGGGGAGGAAGGCGUUAAGGUUAAUAACCUUGGCGAUUGACGUUACCCGCAGAAGAAGCACCGGCUAACUCCGUGCCAGCAGCCGCGGUAAUACGGAGGGUGCAAGCGUUAAUCGGAAUUACUGGGCGUAAAGCGCACGCAGGCGGUCUGUCAAGUCGGAUGUGAAAUCCCCGGGCUCAACCUGGGAACUGCAUUCGAAACUGGCAGGCUAGAGUCUUGUAGAGGGGGGUAGAAUUCCAGGUGUAGCGGUGAAAUGCGUAGAGAUCUGGAGGAAUACCGGUGGCGAAGGCGGCCCCCUGGACAAAGACUGACGCUCAGGUGCGAAAGCGUGGGGAGCAAACAGGAUUAGAUACCCUGGUAGUCCACGCCGUAAACGAUGUCGAUUUGGAGGUUGUGCCCUUGAGGCGUGGCUUCCGGAGCUAACGCGUUAAAUCGACCGCCUGGGGAGUACGGCCGCAAGGUUAAAACUCAAAUGAAUUGACGGGGGCCCGCACAAGCGGUGGAGCAUGUGGUUUAAUUCGAUGCAACGCGAAGAACCUUACCUGGUCUUGACAUCCACAGAACUUUCCAGAGAUGGAUUGGUGCCUUCGGGAACUGUGAGACAGGUGCUGCAUGGCUGUCGUCAGCUCGUGUUGUGAAAUGUUGGGUUAAGUCCCGCAACGAGCGCAACCCUUAUCCUUUGUUGCCAGCGGUUAGGCCGGGAACUCAAAGGAGACUGCCAGUGAUAAACUGGAGGAAGGUGGGGAUGACGUCAAGUCAUCAUGGCCCUUACGACCAGGGCUACACACGUGCUACAAUGGCAUAUACAAAGAGAAGCGACCUCGCGAGAGCAAGCGGACCUCAUAAAGUAUGUCGUAGUCCGGAUUGGAGUCUGCAACUCGACUCCAUGAAGUCGGAAUCGCUAGUAAUCGUAGAUCAGAAUGCUACGGUGAAUACGUUCCCGGGCCUUGUACACACCGCCCGUCACACCAUGGGAGUGGGUUGCAAAAGAAGUAGGUAGCUUAACCUUCGGGAGGGCGCUUACCACUUUGUGAUUCAUGACUGGGGUGAAGUCGUAACAAGGU
Molecule: ribosomal RNA, 1483 nt
Filed under: uncultured bacterium
Lineage: Bacteria
Description: bacterial SSU rRNA
Rfam family: Bacterial small subunit ribosomal RNA
Source: RNAcentral